RNAcentral lists this ribosomal RNA (489 nucleotides) under uncultured bacterium. RNAcentral describes it as "partial 16S ribosomal RNA". It matches the Rfam family "Bacterial small subunit ribosomal RNA", at positions 29 to 507 of the family's 1533-position model. The record is from RNAcentral.
AGUGAACGCUGGCGGUAGGCCUAACACAUGCAAGUCGAACGGCAGCACAGGAGAGCUUGCUCUCUGGGUGGCGAGUGGCGGACGGGUGAGGAAUACAUCGGAAUCUACCUUUUCGUGGGGAUAACGUAGGGAAACUUACGCUAAUACCGCAUACGACCUACGGGUGAAAGUGGGGGACCGCAAGGCCUCACGCGAUUAGAUGAGCCGAUGUCCGAUUAGCUAGUUGGCGGGGUAAUGGCCCACCAAGGCGACGAUCGGUAGCUGGUCUGAGAGGAUGAUCAGCCACACUGGAACUGAGACACGGUCCAGACUCCUACGGGAGGCAGCAGUGGGGAAUAUUGGACAAUGGGCGCAAGCCUGAUCCAGCCAUACCGCGUGGGUGAAGAAGGCCUUCGGGUUGUAAAGCCCUUUUGUUGGGAAAGAAAUCCUGUCGAUUAAUACUCGGUGGGGAUGACGGUACCCAAAGAAUAAGCACCGGCUAACUUCGUG